UACGGAGGAUGCGAGCGUUAUCCGGAUUUAUUGGAUUUAAAGGGUGCGUAGGCGGCCUUGUAAGUCAGCGGUGAAAUUUUGCAGCUUAACUGUAAAGGUGCCGUUGAUACUGUGAGGCUAGGAUUUGGUUGCUGUGGGUGGAAUGUGUGGUGUAGCGGUGAAAUGCUUAGAGAUCCCACAGAAUAUCGAUUGCGAAGGCAGCUCACAAAGCCAAGAUUGACGCUGAGGCACGAAAGUGUGGGGAUCAAACAGGA
This 254-nucleotide ribosomal RNA is filed under the name uncultured prokaryote. RNAcentral's name for it is "partial 16S ribosomal RNA". It matches the Rfam family "Bacterial small subunit ribosomal RNA", at positions 524 to 777 of the family's 1533-position model. The record is from RNAcentral.